CCUACGGGGUGCAGCAGUGGGGAAUAUUGGGCAAUGGAGGCAACUCUGACCCAGCAAUGCCGCGUGAGUGAUGAAGGUAAUUUUAUUGUAAAGCUCUUUUCUUUGGAACGAAUAAAUGACGGUACCCCAAUAGCAAGCCACGGCUAACUACGUGCCAGCAGCCGCGGUAAUACGUAGGUGGCAAGCGUUAUCCGGAAUGACUGGGCGUAAAGGGUGCGUAGGUGGUUUAGUAAGUUGGCGGUGUAAUUCCGGGGCUCAACCUCGGCGCUACCGCCAAAACUAUUAGACUAGAGUGCAGGAGGGGUAAGUGGAAUUCCUAGUGUAGCGGUGGAAUGCGUAGAUAUUAGGAGGAACAUCAGGGGCGAAGGCGACUUACUGGACUGUAACUGACACUGAGGCACGAAAGCGUGGGGAGCAAACAGGAUUAGACACCCGGGUAGUC
Molecule: ribosomal RNA, 442 nt
Filed under: uncultured bacterium
Lineage: Bacteria
Description: partial 16S ribosomal RNA
Rfam family: Bacterial small subunit ribosomal RNA
Source: RNAcentral